AGAGUUUGAUCCUGGCUCAGGACGAACGCUGGCGGCGUGCCUAACACAUGCAAGUCGAACGGACGAGGGGAGCUUGCUCCCUGAGUUAGUGGCGAACGGGUGAGUAACGCGUGAGAAACCUGCCUUUCAGUGGGGGACAACAGUUGGAAACGACUGCUAAUACCGCAUAAUGUAUUUUAGGGGCAUCCCUUUAAUACCAAAGAUUUAUUGCUGAAAGAUGGUCUCGCGUCUGAUUAGCUAGUUGGCGGGGUAACGGCCCACCAAGGCGACGAUCAGUAGCCGGUCUGAGAGGAUGAACGGCCACAUUGGGACUGAGAUACGGCCCAGACUCCUACGGGAGGCAGCAGUGGGGAAUAUUGGGCAAUGGGGGAAACCCUGACCCAGCAACGCCGCGUGAAGGAAGAAGGCUUUCGGGUUGUAAACUUCUUUUAGUAGGGACGAAGAACGUGACGGUACCUACAGAAAAAGCAACGUCUAACUACGUGCCAGCAGCCGCGGU
This 499-nucleotide ribosomal RNA is filed under the name uncultured bacterium. RNAcentral describes it as "bacterial SSU rRNA". It matches the Rfam family "Bacterial small subunit ribosomal RNA", at positions 8 to 521 of the family's 1533-position model. The record is from RNAcentral.